AUUUAGAUAGUUUAAAAGAUAAAAUUUAAUAUUGAAGAUAUUAAGAUAAUUAUUAUGAUUUUUAAAUA
RNAcentral lists this transfer RNA (68 nucleotides) under Brachyserphus abruptus. RNAcentral describes it as "tRNA-Phe". Lineage: Eukaryota; Metazoa; Arthropoda; Insecta; Hymenoptera; Proctotrupidae. The record is from RNAcentral.